RNAcentral lists this ribosomal RNA (460 nucleotides) under uncultured bacterium. RNAcentral's name for it is "partial 16S ribosomal RNA". It matches the Rfam family "Bacterial small subunit ribosomal RNA", at positions 338 to 795 of the family's 1533-position model. The record is from RNAcentral.
CCUACGGGUGGCAGCAGUGAGGAAUAUUGGUCAAUGGACGAGAGUCUGAACCAGCCAAGUAGCGUGAAGGAUGACUGCCCUAUGGGUUGUAAACUUCUUUUAUAUGGGAAUAAAAUGUUCCACGUGUGGGAUUUUGUAUGUACCAUAUGAAUAAGGAUCGGCUAACUCCGUGCCAGCAGCCGCGGUAAUACGGAGGAUCCGAGCGUUAUCCGGAUUUAUUGGGUUUAAAGGGAGCGUAGGUGGAUUGUUAAGUCAGUUGUGAAAGUUUGCGGCUCAACCGUAAAAUUGCAGUUGAAACUGGCAGUCUUGAGUACAGUAGAGGUGGGCGGAAUUCGUGGUGUAGCGGUGAAAUGCUUAGAUAUCACGAAGAACUCCGAUUGCGAAGGCAGUUCACUGGACUGCAACUGACACUGAGGCUCGAAAGUGUGGGUAUCAAACAGGAUUAGAUACCAUUGUAGUC